This 481-nucleotide ribosomal RNA is filed under the name uncultured bacterium. RNAcentral's name for it is "bacterial SSU rRNA". It matches the Rfam family "Bacterial small subunit ribosomal RNA", at positions 8 to 491 of the family's 1533-position model. The record is from RNAcentral.
AGAGUUUGAUCCUGGCUCAGGAUGAACGCUGGCGGCGUGCCUAACACAUGCAAGUCGAACGGAGUUAUGCAGAGGAAGUUUUCGGAUGGAAUCGGCGUAACUUAGUGGCGGACGGGUGAGUAACGCGUGGGAAACCUGCCCUGUACCGGGGGAUAACACUUAGAAAUAGGUGCUAAUACCGCAUAAGCGCACAGCUUCACAUGAAGCAGUGUGAAAAACUCCGGUGGUACAGGAUGGUCCCGCGUCUGAUUAGCCAGUUGGCAGGGUAACGGCCUACCAAAGCGACGAUCAGUAGCCGGCCUGAGAGGGUGAACGGCCACAUUGGGACUGAGACACGGCCCAAACUCCUACGGGAGGCAGCAGUGGGGAAUAUUGCACAAUGGGGGAAACCCUGAUGCAGCGACGCCGCGUGAGUGAAGAAGUAUUUCGGUAUGUAAAGCUCUAUCAGCAGGGAAGAAAAUGACGGUACUGACUAAGAAGC